UUGUACUUAAACUAGUUAUCUAGAUGUUGAGGGCAUGGGAAACUUGUUAUGAACCGUGACUGACUGAUCGAUUUUCAUGCACCACAAGGAAUGGGUACCGGAUGCGCUUACAAAAGACGAUGCACCAUGAAAUUAAUGAUUGCUUGGAAUCAUGAUGGACGCCUGACCCUCGCUCACCACACGCACGAAGCCCCUCCUCCCUCAUCCCCCAACAACAACCACCUGUGCCUCCACACACACACACACACACGUCGCAAAGGCCAACAUCGCAAAGACCACGUCACAAGUGUUAUUGUGCUGGUGGUGGGUCGACAACUGCGCCACGCCCUGAUCAGCGUAGUCGCGUGAGGACUACAGUUCCGGCGGUAGAAGGAAGCCCUCUCGCGGCGAUAGCAUCCAUGAGGAUUUUCUUGGCGCUUCUCGUGCUGCUGGGGGUGACGGUCUCAUGCAGCCUCCCUCUGGUGGAAGAGGACCCGCGCACGCAGAGGGAGCCACCACCAAGAGCAAAAGAUGAAAAUCAGCCUCGCGACAUGAAAUCAGACGGAAUGAAUGGAGAGUACCAGAACUGGGACGAAGAGGACGAGGAUGAUGAUUAUGACGAUGAUGAUGAUGAUGAUGAUGAUGACUUCUGGGAGAAUCACCACAUCUGGACACGGGAAGCGAAUAUGGACGACAGGGACGGGGAAGAAUAAAGAUGUGAAGGAAUCAUCACAGUUGACUCAACUUUUUUCGGUUAAUAUUUAUAAUAACUCCUUACUUUGCCGUUGAACAUUGACAUGAUGGUAUUGUAUACUUACUGUUGUAUACGCCUGUAAAAGUUUUAGACAGCGUCUUCUUAUACUUAACUGUCUAGUUCGUGUGCACAGUACGGCUCCUUUUACACACUGAACCCUGGAACACUUCCUAUGCGCCCCAGGAAGUAGUUCAUAUUGUGGGUAAAAUAUAUAAAAGGUCUUUUUUUUUUUUUAUCCAUACAUAACUGCAGCCUGUUUGUUGUAUUGAAAUUACUGAAACAAGAUGAGCAUUUUAUUAUGAGCAUUUUAUGAUGAGGCACAUUUUAUUAGCGCGAUAUACAAAGAACACUCAGAGGGUAUUAUUCCACGCUGCCCCGUCAGGGAGGGUGAGGGUGUCAUGGCGCCAUGCCAGUUUGAGCUGUCAUCAUGGAAACUUUGGAAAAUUGGGAUCUACGAUUGCUGUUAUACCUUUGAAAAUGAUCUCUUUAAUCUUUACAGUCUUGAAGUUUGGCACUAUUUCCUUUCUUGGUGAGUGUUACUGUAUCUUAUUUCUUAAUAUAUGACGAUUUCAGAUGCCGGCCCGUGAGGAAUAGCGUGUGACUGCCGCGGUACGUACUGGUUAGGUUAGGUAAUGUCAGGUUAGGUUAGGUAACGCUAGGUUAGGUUAGUGUUUUUAAGGGGGAGUCCAGAAGGGGCGAAGCUCCCCCGGUUAGGUUACGUUAGGUUGGAUUAGGUAACGUUAGGUUAACUUAGGUAAUUCUAGGUUAGGUUAGUGUCAUUAAGGGGGCAGUCCCUGUUAGGUCACGUUAGGUUAGUGUCCUUAAAAGGGAGGGUCCAAGGGGGACGAAGCUCCCUCGGUUAGGUUAGGUAAUGAUAGGUUAGGUUAGUAUCCUUAGGGGGGAGCAGCCCCACCUCCACACUCCAGUUAGGUUAGGUAAAGAUAGGUUAUGGUAGAAAUUUCCCCACUUCACAAAACAUGGCGUCUCAUCCUUAGACUUAAUGAAUGUCCAAAUUUAGCCUAAUUCGGCUUUCCCCACCAUAAAACCUCGCUUUCCGCGUCCCCAUCCUCUAAUCCCCCGAGGUUGUUAGGUGAAAGGGAAGGAGUUAUGUGUAAAUUGUUGUGUAAAUUAUUGCAAAUUUUUACUCUUUUUUUCUGUUUCAUGAAAUAAUUGUUACUUUAUUUAAACUUCAAUACCCACAUCCUUCCACACAUAUAUAAUACAGUAGUAACCGACCAUUCGUUAUGAUUCUGAAAUGCAAGCUUAUGUUCAUUCCUCCUAAUCCAAUAAAAUAUUGACCCU
This is a long non-coding RNA of Scylla paramamosain (green mud crab), 2035 nucleotides long. RefSeq lists it as uncharacterized. NCBI's taxonomy places the organism in Eukaryota, Metazoa, Arthropoda, Malacostraca, Decapoda, Portunidae. The record is from RefSeq and is a predicted model, not a curated record. The transcript has 5 exons.